GUCUUUAAGAAAAUUAAUUUAAAGUCUAAUCUGCCCACUGAAAUUUUAAAUGGCUGCAGUUAAUACUGUACAAAGGUAGCAUAAUAAUUUGUUUUUUAAUUAAAAACUUGAAUGAAAGAUUAAAUGAAAUAUAAACUGUUUCAAUUUAAUUGAUUUUUAAUUUUUUAUUUAAGUAAAAAAACUUAAAUAAAAUUUAAAGACGACAAGACCCUAUAGAAUUUUAUUUAUUUUUUAUUUUUUAAUAAAAAAUAAAUUUUAUUGGGGUAAUAAAAAAAUUUUAUUAAUUUUUUUUUUAUUAAACAUUAAUAAAUGAUUUAAUUAUAUCUUAAAUUAUAAAUUAAAAAAAUUAAUUACCUUAGGGAUAACAGCAUAAUUUUUUUUAAAAGAUCUUAUUAACAAAAAAGAUUAU
RNAcentral lists this ribosomal RNA (409 nucleotides) under Stenobracon nicevillei. RNAcentral describes it as "partial 16S ribosomal RNA". Lineage: Eukaryota; Metazoa; Arthropoda; Insecta; Hymenoptera; Braconidae. The record is from RNAcentral.